AUUGAACGCUGGCGGCGUGCUUAACACAUGCAAGUCGAACGAUGAUCUCCAGCUUGCUGGGGGGAUUAGUGGCGAACGGGUGAGUAACACGUGAGUAACCUGCCCUUGACUCUGGGAUAAGCCUGGGAAACUGGGUCUAAUACCGGAUAUGACUGACUAUCGCAUGGUGGUUGGUGGAAAGCUUUUGUGGUUUUGGAUGGACUCGCGGCCUAUCAGCUUGUUGGUGGGGUAAUGGCCUACCAAGGCUACGACGGGUAGCCGGGCUGAGAGGGUGGCCGGCCACACUGGGACUGAGACACGGCCCAGACUCCUACGGGAGGGAGGAGUGGGGAAUAUUGCACAAUGGGCGGACGCCUGAUGCAGCGACGCCGCGUGAGGGAUGACGGCCUUCGGGUUGUAUACCUCUUUCAGUAGGGAAGAAGCGUAAGUGACGGUACCUGCAGAAGAAGCGCCGGCUAACUACGUGCCAGCAGCCGCCGUAA
RNAcentral lists this ribosomal RNA (482 nucleotides) under uncultured bacterium. RNAcentral describes it as "partial 16S ribosomal RNA". It matches the Rfam family "Bacterial small subunit ribosomal RNA", at positions 30 to 523 of the family's 1533-position model. The record is from RNAcentral.